UUGAAUCAGUUGAUUACAAAAGCCGCUUCAACGUAGAUCAGGUCCUAUAACUUCCAAACGCCUUGCACUCCUCCCCAAAGUAUAUUUCAUUUACAUUACUAAAGCGUUGGCAGAACUAUAUAAAUUUAAACCAAUAAUAGUUUUUAUACUAUCUUAAGCCUCUUUAAAAAGAUAAGAAUAUACAAGCCUAGUUUAAUUACACUAUAACAAUAAAAAAAAACUUAGACAUUUCUUAAGUUUGCAGAAUAUCAGCGAUUACUUUUAAGAAUUUAAUAAUUCUUAUCAAUGGUUGAAAGCUUAACUAUACAACUAUAAUACUCAUGUAAAUCACAAAGAAAAUAUAAUAUGUAGCAAUAAAGAUAACGCCAACGGAUAUUGAUAAGUAUUCGCUAGCAGGUAGUUGUUUAUGACUACAAAAACCCAUACCCAAAGAAAGGAUCUGUAUAGCAAUGCUCAAGUAGAGCGAACAACUCACCAACUGCAUGGCCUGAUUGUCGAUAAAUUGCUUUUGUGAAAUAAUUUCGUAAGCGAUUUAUAUUUAUACAUUUUAUAAUGGUAUGUAUAUGGAUAUGUAAGCAACUAUGUAUGGAUAAUCACUCACAUGCAUAUGAAUUUAUUACAUGUACUACAUUAUCUACAUAUGUACUGGCAAGUACAAUAUCAGUUUCCUUCUACCGAAUGCCUUAACCGCAAAUAAUCAGUCAGGCAGACAUCAGAAAAGCAAGUAAUAGGCACUUUCGAGUCCAACGAGUCAUUGAUAGAGCUCAUAUUAAGUUGGCAAAAUGGAAACAAUACAGUCACGCAGUAACACCCUCCAGCCGAGCUGUCACCGAAAAGGAAUCUUGCCGCACACAAAGCGCCUUGGGCGGGUGUAAUGGCCUCUACGUAUAUAAAUGUACACGGCAGCAAGGCGUAACCAAAAUUUUGCUAUCCUUAACAAGUGAAAAGCAACACCUGGCCCUGCGUUUUUACCCCAACUCAAACAUUUGGCUGACAAUCCAUGCGAGAGGAUGAUUUCGACCAACUGACCAAAUUUUGGCUAGGAAAAUACAACACCACCUUCCUCGAAUGCUAGUUGGAAGCUAAAUGAAGGCAAAGGUCGCAUUACAUACACCAAACUGGCAAAUACCAGCGUCCACUAGCUGUACAAUAUGGUUUCAAAACGAAAACUAACUGGGUGCUAACUUUGGUUACGAGUAUUGUGCAAUACAUUCCAGUUUGAUGAAUACUUACACUCGAAAUUCUUGCAGUACAUAUAUUGGUAUAUGCGAUUUAUUGCAUUAAAGGCGCUAACAAUUUCAAUAACUUAUAGAUCGGUUUGGUUUAGGUAUGUAUUUCUUUCAUUAACAAGUUGCACUAUAGAUUUUAAGUUUUGCUGUGCUCAUAAACUAGAUUUUUUUUUCCAAUAAUUAAACGCAGCGUGACACUUUUAACACAAACACGUGCCGCACAUUUCGUUGAAAUGUUUUCAUGAAAUUUUUAACUUUAUUUUUUCACUAUUUUAGUUCAGAAAAGUACAAAAUUUUCACAAUUUUCAGC
Rhagoletis pomonella (apple maggot) is the source of this 1539-nucleotide long non-coding RNA. RefSeq lists it as uncharacterized. The record is from RefSeq and is a predicted model, not a curated record. NCBI's taxonomy places the organism in Eukaryota, Metazoa, Arthropoda, Insecta, Diptera, Tephritidae. The transcript has 3 exons.